RNAcentral lists this long non-coding RNA (235 nucleotides) under Physcomitrium patens. RNAcentral describes it as "long non-coding RNA (PPAT_LNC013948)". Lineage: Eukaryota; Viridiplantae; Streptophyta; Bryopsida; Funariales; Funariaceae. The record is from RNAcentral.
AAUUAAAAAUUAUCAAAAACAAAUAAAGUUUUAGAAACAUUUCUUGAAUGUUUUGAAAGGUGUUAGGAGCUAAAAUUUAUUAUAUAUCUAUCUACAAUGUCACUUAUUAUAUAUUUUGAUAAAAACUAAUCUUUGGAACAUUUCUGCUUCUUCUAUGUUUUCUAAUUGUUUAUUAUAAAAAAAAUUAAAAAUAUACUUUAAAAAUAUUAUGUAUUCAUAAAUUAAGUAUAUUAAC